UACGGGAGGCAGCGGUGGGGAAUAUUGCACAAUGGGCGAAAGCCUGAUGCAGCUAUGCCGCGUGUAUGAAGAAGGCCUUAGGGUUGUAAAGUACUUUCAUCGGGGAGGAAAAAACAAAACUAAUAAUUUUAUUUCUUGACGUUACCCGAAAAAGAAGCACCGGCUAACUCCGUGCCAGCAGCCGCGGUAAUACGGAGGGUGCUAGCGUUAAUCAGAAUUACUGGGCGUAAAGAGCACGUAGGUGGUUUUUUUAAAGUCAGAUGUGAAAUCCCUGGGCUUUAACCUAGGAACUGCAUUUUGAAACUGAAAUACUAGAGUAUCGUAGAGGGAGGUAGAAUUCUAGGUGUAGCGGUGAAAUGCGUAGAUAUCUGGAGGAAUACCUGUGGCGAAAGCGGCCUCCUAAACGAAUACUGACACUGAGGUGCGAAAGCGUGGGGAGCAAACAGGGAUUAGAUACC
Molecule: ribosomal RNA, 458 nt
Filed under: uncultured bacterium
Lineage: Bacteria
Description: bacterial SSU rRNA
Rfam family: Bacterial small subunit ribosomal RNA
Source: RNAcentral